AGAGUUUGAUCCUGGCUCAGAACGAACGCUGGCGGCGUGGAUAAGGCAUGCAAGUCGAACGGGAUCCAAGAGACCCGCAAGGGUUUCUUGGUGAGAGUGGCGAACGGGUGAGUAACACGUGAGCAACCUACCUUUAGGAGGGGGAUAACCCCGGGAAACCGGGGCUAAUACCGCGUAUCACCUUAGGGUCUCAUGACUCUUGGGUGAAAGGAGGGGAUCCUUCGGGACCUUCCGCCUAAAGAUGGGCUCGCGCCCGAUCAGCUAGUUGGCGGGGUAAUGGCCCACCAAGGCUUCGAUCGGUAGCUGGUCUGAGAGGAUGGUCAGCCACACUGGGAUUGAGAUACGGCCCAGACUCCUACGGGAGGCAGCAGUCUAGAAGCUUCGGCAAUGGGCGAAAGCCUGACCGAGCGACGCCGCGUGCGGGAUGAAGGCCUUCGGGUUGUAAACCGCUUUCAGAGGGGAAGAAGUGCAUGGGUGUUAAUACCACCUAUGUUAGACGGUACCCUUAGAAGAAGCCCUGGCUAACUCCGUGCCAGCAGCCGCGGUGAUACGGAGAGGGCGAGCGUUGUUCGGAUUUAUUGGGCGUAAAGGGCGCGUAGGCGGUUUGUAUAAGUCUUCAGUGAAAUUUUCAGGGCUCAACCCGGAACCUGCUGGAGAAACUGUCAGACUUGAGUAGAGGAGAGGAGAGCGGUAUUCCCGGUGUAGCGGUGAAAUGCGUAGAUAUCGGGAGGAACACCAGUGGCGAAGGCGGCUCUCUGGCCUCAAACUGACGCUGAGGCGCGAAAGCCAGGGGAGCGAACGGGAUUAGAUACCCCGGUAGUCCUGGCCCUAAACGUUGUGCACUAGGUGUAGGAGGUAUUGACCCCUUCUGUGCCGUAGGUAACCCAUUAAGUGCACCGCCUGGGGAGUACGAUCGCAAGGUUGAAACUCAAAGGAAUUGACGGGGGCCCGCACAAGCGGUGGAGCAUGCGGUUUAAUCCGAUGCAACGCGAAGAACCUUACCGGGGUUUGACAUUACCGUCAGGGAUCUGGCCAUUUGGGAAACCAGAUGGUUUUAGAUAAACAGGUGCUGCAUGGCUGUCGUCAGCUCGUGACGUGAGAUGUUGGGUUAAGUCCCGCAACGAGCGCAACCCUUGCAUUCAGUUACCAGCGGCUAGGCCGGGAACUCUGGAUGGACUGCCGGUGAUAAACCGGAGGAAGGUGGGGAUGACGUCAAGUCCUCAUGGCCCUUAUGCCCCGGGCUACACGCGUGCUACAAUGGUCGGUACUAAGAGUUGCAAAACCGAAAGGUCCAGCGAAUCUCAAAAAACCGGCCCCAGUUCAGAUUGGGGUCUGCAAUUCGACCCCAUGAAGUUGGAAUCGCUAGUAAUCGCGUAUCAGCAACGACGCGGUGAAUACGUUCCCGGGCCUUGUACACACCGCCCGUCAAAUGACCCGAGUUGACUGCACCAGAAGCCGUUUACCCAACCCGCAAGGGAAGGAAACGUCGAAGGUGUGGUUGGUAAGGGGGACC
Molecule: ribosomal RNA, 1513 nt
Filed under: metagenome
Description: bacterial SSU rRNA
Rfam family: Bacterial small subunit ribosomal RNA
Source: RNAcentral